RNAcentral lists this microRNA precursor (58 nucleotides) under Xenoturbella bocki. Its description in RNAcentral is "Xbo-Novel-7_pre stem-loop". The record is from RNAcentral. Lineage: Eukaryota; Metazoa; Xenacoelomorpha; Xenoturbellidae.
ACUUCUAAGUUGUUAACGCAAAUGUAACUUUGGUUUUGCGGUAGCAGAUUAGAAGUAC